UGGGGAAUUGUUCACAAUGGGCGCAAGCCUGAUGACGCAACGCCGCGUGGGGGAUGAAGGCCUUCGGGUCGUAAACCCCUGUCGAAUGGGACGAAUAGCCCGCGAUCUAACAGAACGCGGGAUUGACGGUACCGUUAAAGGAAGCCACGGCUAACUCUGUGCCAGCAGCCGCGGUAAUACAGAGGUGGCAAGCGUUGUUCGGAAUUACUGGGCGUAAAGGGCGCGUAGGCGGCCUUCUAAGUCAGACGUGAAAUCCCCCGGCUUAACCUGGGAACUGCGUCUGAUACUGGGAGGCUUGAGUAUGGGAGAGGGAUGUAGAAUUCCAGGUGUAGCGGUGAAAUGCGUAGAUAUCUGGAGGAAUACCGGUGGCGAAGGCGGCAUCCUGGACCAUAACUGACGCUGAGGCGCGAAAGCUAGGGGAGCAAACGGGAUUAGAUACCCCGGUAGUCCUAGCCCUAAACGAUGAAUACUUGGUGUGGCGGGUAUCGAUCCCUGCCGUGCCGAAGCUAACGCAUUAAGUAUUCCGCCUGGGGAGUACGGCCGCAAGGCUAA
This 552-nucleotide ribosomal RNA is filed under the name uncultured Acidobacteriota bacterium. Its description in RNAcentral is "bacterial SSU rRNA". It matches the Rfam family "Bacterial small subunit ribosomal RNA", at positions 355 to 897 of the family's 1533-position model. Lineage: Bacteria; Pseudomonadati; Acidobacteriota. The record is from RNAcentral.